CAGAGGGAGAAGCAGACUCCAUGCAGGGAGCCUGAUGUGGGAUUCGAUCCCGGGUCUCCAGGAUCACGCCCUGGGCUGAAGGCGGUGCCAAACCACUGAGCCACCAGGGCUGCCCCUGCUCUGUUGUUUUCAACCACAAGCUUAAAUUCUCCAUCGACUCAACCAGUUAAAUUCAAGCAUCUUUUCCAGUUUUGCAGAAAAUUUUUCGGUGAAUACUGCCAAUCAUGUAAAAACUCCAUGUGUUUCUACACGUGUCACUUAUAGAAAAAGUUGCUACAGGAAGUUAGCAGCCUUCCCCAUGCUCUUUCCAGACGUGGAAAGCUCAGCUAUGGCUACUGUGGGGGAGCGGGAGGAGCGAGUUUUUCUCAGUGACUUUCCGAGAGACAUAUGAAUAAUCCCAAGCAGAGAAUAAUCUGCGAAUCAGUUCUUCAUUCCCUUUGUUUUCCCUAGAAAAGCUUUAGGAGGUGAUAUUGGAGGAAAGAAGGUCUCUCUGGGAGGCAGAAGGUGAUGCUGGAAAAGCAGGCCAAUUUAGAGCUUUAUGGAAAACAAGACUGAGGGAUGACUGCUGGCUUCCUUGUCUCCUCUGCAGAUUCCUGAAGUUACGUCUUCUAAAUACUGUAGGUUUUUAAUUCUCCUUGGAUUAUUUAAUCACGAGUGUCUUGGUCCUGUUUGUGGAUUCAUACGAAGCAUCUCAUAAAGGUGAAGGAAGGAUAAGGACCCAGAGGCCCUUAGAAUGGAGGCUAUGUUACCAUCUUGGCUUGAAGUAUGGAAACAUCCCUGUGAUUACUGUAGCC
Molecule: long non-coding RNA, 794 nt
Organism: Canis lupus familiaris (dog)
Lineage: Eukaryota; Metazoa; Chordata; Mammalia; Carnivora; Canidae
Exons: 5
Source: RefSeq, a predicted model, not a curated record